RNAcentral lists this ribosomal RNA (439 nucleotides) under uncultured bacterium. RNAcentral's name for it is "partial 16S ribosomal RNA". It matches the Rfam family "Bacterial small subunit ribosomal RNA", at positions 339 to 795 of the family's 1533-position model. The record is from RNAcentral.
UUACGGGUGGCUCCAGUGGGGAAUAUUGGACAAUGGGCGCAAGCCUGAUCCAGCAAUGCCGCGUGAGUGAAGACUGCCUUAGGGUUGUAAAACUCUUUCGCUAGGGAAGAUAAUGACUGUACCUAGUAUAGAAGUCCCGGCUAACUCCGUGCCAGCAGCCGCGGUAAUACGGAGGGGACUAGCGUUGUUCGGAAUUACUGGGCGUAAAGAGUUCGUAGGCGGACUGACAAGUUAGAGGUGAAAUCCCAGGGCUCAACCCUGGAACUGCCUUUAAAACUGUCAGUCUAGAGACCGGAAGAGGUUAGGGGAAUACCUAGUGUAGAGGUGAAAUUCGUAGAUAUUAGGUGGAACACCAGUGGCGAAGGCGCCUAACUGGUCCGGUACUGACGCUGAGGAACGAAAGCGUGGGGAGCAAACAGGAUUAGAUACCCCAGUAGUC